GACGAACGCUGGCGGCGUGCUUAACACAUGCAAGUCGAACGGAAAGGCCCUGCUUUUGUGGGGUGCUCGAGUGGCGAACGGGUGAGUGACACGUGAGUAACCUGCCCUUGACUUUGGGAUAACUUCAGGAAACUGGGGCUAAUACCGGAUAGGAGCUCCUGCUGCAUGGUGGGGGUUGGAAAGUUUCGGCGGUUGGGGAUGGACUCGCGGCUUAUCAGCUUGUUGGUGGGGUAGUGGCUUACCAAGGCUUUGACGGGUAGCCGGCCUGAGAGGGUGACCGGCCACAUUGGGACUGAGAUACGGCCCAGACUCCUACGGGAGGCAGCAGUGGGGAAUAUUGCACAAUGGGCGGAAGCCUGAUGCAGCAACGCCGCGUGCGGGAUGACGGCCUUCGGGUUGUAAACCGCUUUCGCCUGUGACGAAGCGUGAGUGACGGUAAUGGGUAAAGAGGCACCGGCUAACUACGUG
RNAcentral lists this ribosomal RNA (468 nucleotides) under uncultured bacterium. RNAcentral describes it as "partial 16S ribosomal RNA". It matches the Rfam family "Bacterial small subunit ribosomal RNA", at positions 28 to 507 of the family's 1533-position model. The record is from RNAcentral.